This 298-nucleotide long non-coding RNA is filed under the name Gallus gallus (chicken). Its description in RNAcentral is "long non-coding RNA NONGGAT003017". The record is from RNAcentral. Lineage: Eukaryota; Metazoa; Chordata; Aves; Galliformes; Phasianidae.
CAGUUCGGCGGUCCCUCAGGCAGCUUUGGCUCACAGAACUGCAGUGUUCUCACUCAACACAAACACUGGCUCCUCUUGUUCUCGCUGUGGAUUUCCUUGCUCUGUUUGUGGAAUCGUGGUUUUUUAUGCUGUGUAGUUAUUGAUGUAUGAAGCUUAACUCCUGUGGUUACUGUGAGGCGCAGUUCAUCUCUCAAUCCAAUUCUUCAGAUGGUUUUUCUGGAAAAGAAAUAAAAAGCAACGGAUGCUGAGGUGGGACAGCUUGUCAUGCCAUGGGAAACCCCGUAUUUCUUUGGUUUGG